AGUGUGUGAGAGAGAGAGAGAAUUAGUGUGUGUGUGUGUGUGUGUGUGUGUGUGUGUGUGUUGCGGGGAGGGUAAAUCUUUGAAGGACUCAUUCUGUUUUAUUAAAGGAGAGGUUUCAGAGACCUGUUAUCACCGUUCUACAUCCUGUCAAUCUAUUAAAGGAGAGGUUUCAGAGACCUGUUAUCACCGUUCUACAUCCUGUUAAUCUAUUAAAGGAGAGGUUUCUGUCAAUCUAUUAAAGGAGAGGUUUCAGAGACCUGUUAUCACCGUUCUACAUCCUGUUAAUCUAUUAAAGGAGAGGUUUCUGUCAAUCUAUUAAAGGAGAGGUUUCUGUCAAUCUAUAAAAGGAGAGGUUUCUGUUAAUCUAUUAAAUGAGAGGUUUCAGAGGCCUGUUAUCACCGUUCUACAUCCUGUUAAUCUAUUAAAGGAGAGGUUUCUGUCAAUUUAUUAAAGGAAAGAUUUCUGUCAAUCUAUUAAAGGAGAGGUUUCUGUCAAUCUAUUAAAGGAGAGGUUUCUGUCAAUCUAUUAAAGGAGAGGUUUCAGAGACCUGUUAUCACCGUUCUAGAGACUACAUCCUGUUAAUCUAUUAAAGGAGAGGUUUCAGAGGCCUGUUAUCACCGUUCUACAUCCUGUUAAUCUAUUAAAGGAGAGGUUUCUGUCAAUCUAUUAAAGGAGAGGUUUCUGUCAAUCUAUUAAAGGAGAGGUUUCAGAGACCUGUUAUCACCGUUCUAGAGACUACAUCCUGUCAAUCUAUUAAAGGAGAGGUUUCAGAGACCUGUUAUCACCGUUCUAGAGACUACAUCCUGUCAAUCUAUUAAAGGAGAGGUUUCUGUCAAUCUAUUAAAGGAGAGGUUUCUGUCAAUCUAUUAAAGGAGAGGUUUCAGAGACCAGUUAUCACCGUUCUACAUCCUGUCAAUCUAUUAAAGGAGAG
Oncorhynchus keta (chum salmon) is the source of this 931-nucleotide long non-coding RNA. RefSeq lists it as uncharacterized. The transcript has 10 exons. NCBI's taxonomy places the organism in Eukaryota, Metazoa, Chordata, Actinopteri, Salmoniformes, Salmonidae. The record is from RefSeq and is a predicted model, not a curated record.